GCUAGGUGUGGUGGUGCACACCUGUAAUCCCAGCUACUCGGAAGGCUGAGGUUUCAGGUUUUAAGGCAGCCUGGGCAACCUCGU
RNAcentral lists this small RNA (84 nucleotides) under Marmota monax (woodchuck). Lineage: Eukaryota; Metazoa; Chordata; Mammalia; Rodentia; Sciuridae. The record is from RNAcentral.